This 20-nucleotide non-coding RNA is filed under the name Rattus norvegicus (Norway rat). The record is from RNAcentral. Lineage: Eukaryota; Metazoa; Chordata; Mammalia; Rodentia; Muridae.
AGGCAUUUUCAAAGAGAAAU